Molecule: long non-coding RNA, 2433 nt
Filed under: Pan troglodytes (chimpanzee)
Lineage: Eukaryota; Metazoa; Chordata; Mammalia; Primates; Hominidae
Description: long non-coding RNA NONPTRT003723
Source: RNAcentral
CUUCCCUUUUGUAAAGCAAUGAGCUCUUUCUGAAUGAUCUUGAAAACACACGGCUCCUUUCCUCUCUGUUUCCCCCACUUUUGCGUAGAGCCGUGACUUGGGAGAAACACUUCUGUAUUAGAAGAGUGGUGAGAGGGAGCAUAAAUGGAGUUGGUCAACUCUGGGUCCAGAAGCCAUCGUGGGUGGAGGGACUCGAAACCUCAGUGCCACUCUGCCCCAUCGAGGCCAAGUCAGAUUGGAAGCCCCAUUUCGCCAGUGUCUGAAUUCUUAAGCGAUGCUAGAAAUCUAGAUUUCUAAGAAUUGUCUUGGGGCUGCAGUUGAUAAAGGAAUCUACAAUCAACUUUUUAACCCAGUCCAGAGUUAUUGUAUGUACACUCGAGACCCAAAGGAAGGACAGAGAAUUUUCCUCACCUCAGCCCAAAAGGAGGCUGGAAUGCAUGCUUGCCUGCCACAGUUUCCACUUACUUACCACCAUCAGUCAGCAGGCUUUUAGGAGAGAACUGCACGUGUGAUUUAUUUGCAAAUCCUUUCAGGUCCUGGAGGAAAGAUACUUGGUACACAAUGCACUUUGUCAUCACGUGUCAACAUCCCCUCAAUGCAGAGAGCAGCACUACACGAUGUAAAGGUGGAAUUGGAUUGUGAUGGGAUCCUUAAAUCAGCAUUUCAUUUAGAACUACAGCAUUUGCAGAGCCAUUUGCAAUUGAUGCCAGCCCCUUGGAGGGGGUCAGCGUGUAGAAGACAAAGGACAGCCAUAAAGCCACUGAAUGCAAACUUUAUAUUUACAGUCAGUAAGUAAGUUUAUAAAUAUAUAUUACAUUCUUACAAUCUACAGUACAUUCUACACGCAGAUGGAUUUGGAAGCGGGCAGCGGCUGCAGUAUUCAACAGAACAUGACACAGGUAAGAAUGGAAAGAAAUAUGAGGACGUUACUGAAAGCAAAGGAUUCUCAUGGAAAAGGGGUGACAGCUUAAUCACCCAACCAACCAAACAAGGUAGGUAAGCUUGCGGACAGGAGCAGGUGACUUACUGGCUGCAGAAACCUCAGUCUCAAGAGCACCACAGUUGCAGGGGAGAGGGCUAAGGUUGGGAGGGUAAACUGGUGAAAUUUACACACACAUGAUCUAAAGAGAAUUCAAUUCUAUGGAGAGGAAGAAGGAGUAAAGACACACACUCAAAAUUACAGAGAUGGAGAGGAAGCAGGGAGAUAGAUAGGUUCAAAGGAGGAGAGAGAUACAGAGACAGACACACAGAGAGACUGGAAAACAGACAACUGAAGAGCAGAGAGAGAGAAAGAAAAUGACAGAGGGAAAAAUAGAAGAUCAAUUCAACAGCACGGCCUCUUCUGCCCACCACCCGCUGCCCCCGACCAUCUUUCUCAGGAUCCUAUCUGGCUGGCAAUCACCCAACACACCAUUCUCUACCUUGGAGUGAGCGUGAGAUGAGGCAGGAAUUCUCUGAUGUAUCCUUGCCCCCAUCUUCAUAGGCUUCAUAAGUGAAGGGAUUCAGGGAUAUCCAGAGUCAUGCUGAUCUUAAGCAAUGCUGAACCUUUCGGGGCUGACUGCAGGACCAAGUGCUUGCAAACCUGCAUCUUCACCACACGCACUGAUGCCCCUCAUCCCUUCGCACCUCCAAGAUGAAGAAGGUUUCUGUGCUGUCCGGUGUGUGUGAGGCUGAGCUUCCUGCUGGAUCCACCACUUUCACACCCAGAACCCCCUAACUAACUUCACAUGCCCUGCACGUUCCACACAGGCACCCCGAUUUGUCUCAACAGCCUCGAGGCCACAUUCUUGGACAGGAGAUCUGCCAUGAACAGUGAAAGACCCAUCCCAAGUGGCCCUGUUUUCUUUCUAGUAAAGCAAGGGAAUGUAUAUCCCCUGGCAUGGAAUUCACCGCGACCAAAAACCAUGUUUUUGAGACCAGCCUCUUCAAAGAUGGACGGCGUGGGACAUAUGCCCAAGUUGCGGGGGGAGCUUCUCUACAGAAUGUCACUUGGGAGUUGACACAAAACCCAGGGGGAGAAAAAAGACCCAGCAAAUACUACAAACUGCCCUCUCCCUCCCCCACCCACAGGUGACCAACGGCUUUGGGGAGGAUGGCAAUGCAAUGGAGGAAUAGAAAUGGAUACAUUGUGAACUUGAUAUGAAUCAAAAGAGCCUGGUUCUUUGAACCUGAUUCAAAUUCUAUGCCCAGUAUCCUUAGUUUACAAAUAAAGAAGUACUCUGAAGGGCUCAGAGGAUUUGCGUCCGUGUGUUUGUCCUUGGCAUGUAGUUACAAAGGUAUAUGUGGUCUGUUAGCCCACAUGUUCCCUUUCAGUCCUUGUCAGCCACUUCCUUGGCCUGUCCAUGAUCUGAGCCAGCUCUGGCCCAGCCUUUGAGAGACAAUGACUCACAACCAUGCCUCCCACAGCUGACGGCGGCACUGGACUGCCUGUGA